UGUGUUUCUUUAUUGCAAUUGACAACUUUUCAAAACUAUGUGGCAUCUAAUGUCACAUGGAUAUGAUCCCAAUGUUGUAUUUAGGUGUGUUAGUAUGAAAUAGUGGACAGAUGGAUACAUGAAAUGAAGUUUAAAUGGGAUUGUUAUUGAAAAUGGAUAAAUCUUAGCGCAGAGAUAAUUCUGAAAUCUGAUUCUUCAUUCUUUGCAGGAAUCUAUUGUAUGGUGGCUAUUUCUGCUCCAUUUAAACAUGAAUUGGUACAUUUUGGAAUUAUAAGGCAGUUGGUUUAACUUUUAAUGGACAAAUUAUUGGAAAUCAUUGCAAGCAAGAUAAAUUGGCGCAGUCAGUGUAAGUUGAUGAAGGGAGUGUUGUGUCAGGCUAUCUUUUGGCCCGCUUGCCUCCUGCAGAUGCUGGUUUAAAUCUAAGUUACACCAGCAUUUUGGGUCUAGCAUCGUUUGUUGUUUCCCGCAAGGAUCCCAUCACGAGUUACGUCUAUUCCCAUCCACCUUUCCACAGAGACCAUUCUCUCCAUGAUUCACUGAUCCACUUAAUCCAUCCCCUCACAUACCUUUGUAUUCCCUCAAACUUUUCCCUGCAACCAUCGCUGGCCUAACACUUGUCCCUACACCUUCCUCGUCACCAUCCAAGGAUCUAAGCAACUCUUCCAGGUGAGACAGAGAUACACGUACACCUCCUCCAACCUUGUGCAUUUCAUUUGGUGCUCUCAAUGUGGUCUCUACAUUGGCAAGACCAAGUGCUGUCUAGGUGACUAGAUAAUUACCCGCACUCUGUGCACCAUGGCCACCUUGACCUCCAGUUGCAUAUCACUUAAGUUCCAUUCUCACAACGACUGGUCUCUUGGAUUUCUAUACUGCCACGGUAAGGCCAAAUACAAACCAGAAGUACACACUCAAAUUCCAGUGAGACACAGGGAACGGCAGAGGCAGAUUUACAAAAUAAGACAGUAUUGGAAGAACUCAGCGUGUCAGGCAGCAUCAGUGGAGGGAAUUGUUCAGACGACUUUCUAGCUAGGGACUCUAGACUAAAGGAGGUGUCCCAACCUGAAACGUCAUCUGUCCAUUCCCUCCACAGAUGCUGCUUGGCCUGCUGAGUUCUUCCCACACUUUUUUUGUUCACGAUUCAGCACUGGAGUUUCCCGUAUCACACGCAAAUCAUAAAUUCUACAUAAAUGACCCAAAUUCUGCAAGAUAGUCCAAAGAGAAA
This is a long non-coding RNA of Leucoraja erinaceus (little skate), 1222 nucleotides long. RefSeq lists it as uncharacterized. The transcript has 2 exons. The record is from RefSeq and is a predicted model, not a curated record. Lineage: Eukaryota; Metazoa; Chordata; Chondrichthyes; Rajiformes; Rajidae.